GAUCAAAUUAACGACACUGAAAGUGAAAUGUAAAAUCUCCUUCAAUUUUGAAUUUAAGGUGAUGACACAUUUGACAAUACAUUAUCACUUGAAUCAACAUCCAGAAAAUGCUAGUUGUCAAGUCCACAGUUAUUGCAGAUUGACAUAAAAAGUGUUAAGGUGAUGGCAAACAUGAUUAACAUUUGUUUCCAGUCCUUCAUUUGUAGGCCCCCAUCAUCCAUCUUCUUCAGAUUGCUUCCCAAUCGACUUCUUCAUACUGAACAACUGCAGCAAAGAAUAAUAAAAGGAAUAAAGCAGAUUCAUGGUUAAUGCCAAUGCUCAAGGAAUAAUAAAGUUAAAAGAGGAAAUGUGAAAUUAUCAAAUCAAGAGCCGGUAGAGGGUUUACUGCACAAGGACCCUGCAGAGGAAAAGCUUUAUCCCAGAUUAGUAACUAUGGACUAAAUUCCAGGAAUAUAAAAUUUCUAAGCCAGCCAAGGUAACAACACUACGUAAUAAAACGUCACAAAUUAUUCAGGAACAAAAGCUUUCUGACUAGUCUCGUAUUCUCCUCACACAGGUAAAUGAUUUAACUUUUGGAGCCACAAAAAUCAAUGCAACCAUCUUCACCUUCACAAUACAUUAUUAUAGCACAAAUUGAGGAGAGAAUUUAACCAAAUAACCCAAACAACUAACCUAGCUAAAGUUACAUUUGCCAUCCAUUAAUGAUUGAUAAUAAUUAUCCACAACAGCUUCCAUGUGUAAAGGACACAUUAU
Molecule: long non-coding RNA, 753 nt
Filed under: Panax ginseng (ginseng)
Lineage: Eukaryota; Viridiplantae; Streptophyta; Magnoliopsida; Apiales; Araliaceae
Description: long non-coding RNA (PGIN_LNC006241)
Source: RNAcentral